This 75-nucleotide transfer RNA is filed under the name Pyrobaculum islandicum DSM 4184. RNAcentral describes it as "tRNA-Arg (GCG) (tRNA-Arg-GCG-1-1)". It matches the Rfam family "tRNA". From Rfam's summary of the family: Transfer RNA (tRNA) molecules are approximately 80 nucleotides in length. Their secondary structure includes four short double-helical elements and three loops (D, anti-codon, and T loops). Lineage: Archaea; Thermoproteati; Thermoproteota; Thermoprotei; Thermoproteales; Thermoproteaceae. The record is from RNAcentral. RNAcentral also lists the same sequence under 2 other names.
GGGCCCGUAGCUCAGCCUGGAUGGAGCGGCGGCCUGCGGAGCCGUAGGUCGUGGGUUCAAAUCCCACCGGGCCCG